This 504-nucleotide ribosomal RNA is filed under the name uncultured bacterium. RNAcentral's name for it is "partial 16S ribosomal RNA". It matches the Rfam family "Bacterial small subunit ribosomal RNA", at positions 30 to 523 of the family's 1533-position model. The record is from RNAcentral.
AUUGAACGCUGGCGGCAGGCCUAACACAUGCAAGUCGAACGGUAGCACAGAGAGCUUGCUCUCGGGUGACGAGUGGCGGACGGGUGAGUAACGUCUGGGAAACUGCCCGAUGGAGGGGGAUAACUACUGGAAACGGUAGCUAAUACCGCAUAACGUCGCAAGACCAAAGUGGGGGCCCUUCGGGCCUCACACCAUCGGAUGUGCCCAGAUGGGAUUAGCUAGUAGGUGGGGUAAUGGCUCACCUAGGCGACGAUCCCUAGCUGGUCUGAGAGGAUGACCAGCCACACUGGAACUGAGACACGGUCCAGACUCCUACGGGAGGCAGCGGUGGGGAAUAUUGCACAAUGGGCGCAAGCCUAAUGCAGCCAUGCCGCGUGUAUGAAGAAGGCCUUCGGGUUGUAAAGUACUUUCAGCGGGGAGGAAGGCGGUGAAGUUAACAGCUUCACCGAUUGACGUUACCCGCAGAAGAAGCACCGGCUAACUCCGUGCCAGCCGCCGCCGUAA